UAGUAUAGUAAACAUAGACAUCUUUAGCCAGAUUUACAGUUAAUCAGUUUAAGUGUUGACUUAGUCUCAUUAAUUUCAUGAGUAAGGAACUAAAGUCCCCUAUACAUCAGAGUGUACACAUGAACAAUUCCUGUCUGUUUACUUGGACAAUUUUUACUGUUUAAACUGUUUGGAAUCUAGUGGAUCAAGAACUUGCCUUGUUGAUUUCAGUUAAAAUAGAUUUCAUUACACCAGAAAUUUACUUUUUAAACAAUUCAGACCUAGGAAAAUUUCCAAAAACCUUCAAGAAGGCAGGUAGAUGUUGGAGGUGUGAUUUGUAGAUUAUGCAACCUCUCAGUUCCCUUCCAUGGAUGUCUUUUGGAUUUUGGAACUUGCAUAACAAAACCUGGUCAAUUUUGUAAGAAAGAGAUUCACCUAAGAGAGAGAAAGAGAGAGCAUGAGCAAGAGGAGCAGAAAGAGAGAGACAAGCAGACUCUGGGCU
Canis lupus familiaris (dog) is the source of this 481-nucleotide long non-coding RNA. RefSeq lists it as uncharacterized. The transcript is spliced from 3 exons. The record is from RefSeq and is a predicted model, not a curated record. NCBI's taxonomy places the organism in Eukaryota, Metazoa, Chordata, Mammalia, Carnivora, Canidae.